Pongo pygmaeus (Bornean orangutan) is the source of this 8556-nucleotide long non-coding RNA. RefSeq lists it as uncharacterized. The transcript has 2 exons. The record is from RefSeq and is a predicted model, not a curated record. Lineage: Eukaryota; Metazoa; Chordata; Mammalia; Primates; Hominidae.
ACUAACGAGCGCGCUAGCAGGGGAAUCUGCGCAUGCGCGCGCCCUCUUUCCAGGCAGCACGUGAGUGCGGACCCCGUUUUCCCCCCAGGGAGCUACUGAUAGCGACGCCGGUUGUAUUCAGCGCUCUCCCCCGGCUGCACCUUGGAAUUGCCGAAGAAGUUUUUUUAAAACUCCAGAUGGGCCGGGUGCGGUGGUUCACACCUAUAAUCCCAGCACUCUGAGAGGCCGAGGCGGGAGGAUCGUUUGAGCCCAGGAGGUCAGCCUGGGCAACAUAGUGGGACUCCGUCUGUACAAAUCAAAAAACAAACAGAAACUUAAAAUGCAGAAUUUCUAGGGGUGGGGUCUUGACCUCAGAGUUUUGAAAGCUCUCCAGGUGAUUCAAGGUGCAGACAGAAUUGAGACCCACACCACCAGUGGCAGCUGGUGACAGCCUCAGCUUUUUGCUCCCGUGUCACGGUACCAUUACCUCAUUAUUUCGCAGUGUUGUGUAUUGACUGAGCUAAUCCCCAGUUAACUCUGCAGGUCCCCGCUAAGCGUUUGCGUUCUUCCUGAGCCCCUGUAAGCCUGUGCAGCAGGUUUGGGUCGUCAGCUCACGCAGCUCUGUGUGAGUAGUAGGCCUAUGUUCUUGCUCUCCUCCAGGUUGGCGCUGCAGCUCUGGGAUUCAUUCAUUCAUAUAGCUCGUAUUUAUUGAGCACCUGCCAUACGCCUGGAACGGUGCUAGGGAAACAGCAGUGUUAAACAGGUGAAGUCCUGCCCGCAUGAAGUUUUACAUUGUAGUUCAGGACACAAUAAGCAGCUUAGCCCAAAACAGAGCCAAGCCAGCCCACCUAAAGGAGCAGGAGCACGCCCAGUGGCAUCAUUGUGACUGGACUGCUGAUUGGCUGGCAGCCUGGGGAGUGUCUGGCCCAGGUUAUACGAUACCCAGGGCCUUCCCAUCAUUCAUGGUGGUCUUCACUGGCCCAAAGUGUAAGGAUCUUUAAAGCAAGAAUCUUAUCUAGUCCCAAUUCUACAAACCCCGUGAACUUUCUAAAGCUGUACUCCCUGCAUAUUUUUAGUAUGAGCUUCCUGAAAAUAGAGAUGAUGCCAUUUUUAUCUUUCCCCCUCUCCCCUACCAGUGUCUAGCAUAGUUCUUGGCCCAUAAAAAACACUCAGUAAAUGUCUGAAUGGAUAAGUAAGUAAUUGGUUGUGGCUCAUGAGACAAAGAUAAUUUGAAUAUAGUUUCAGAUGUAGCAGAACUAGAUGAAGAGAAGUUGUGAAGAGUGAGAAAGGAAUAUUUGUGUGUCCUGAGUGGUGAGAAUUGAUUUGAGAGCUUACCAUGUUUGGGAAAUUGCAGGAUCUAUGGAAGAAGGCCAUAACCUGGCCCUCACCACCAAGGAGCUUACAGUUGGGCAGUCAGAGGCUCCAUCCUUGGGGAGGUGAGAGAGCGUUACAUUCACUUGCUUGGUUGUUAGUGUAAGAGGAGCCAGCAAAGGAGGAAAGAGUUUUCUCUUUUGGAAUUGUCAUUACCUAGGGCAGUCGUUCCUGAUCAGUCAAAGGCCUACACAGGUUUGAGUCCCAGCUGCAGAUGCAAGUCAUGGCUGUGUUAGUGAUUCUGUAGCAGCUGAUGAAUGCAUUCCUGUCAGAGUGACCAGUGCAUCACGAUGGCAGCAGGUGCAUUACUCAGGACCACUGUUGCGGUGCCUCAUCCUAAUGUCACCUGAGAAUGCACCUGGCCUUAGUAAAUCUUUGUGGUAAUUUUUGAAGGGCGCAAUUCCUCGCUGGAAUUGAAAACACUACUGUGAGUCACUCCUACUGACACCCCCAGAUCAUUUAUAAAGACCUUGAGAAAGCAAGAUGAUUCUGGUAGGCUCUUCAUUAAACUGGCAGCAGGAGGUGGGGAUUAGAUCCAGUUGACUGACUAGUAUGGAGCUCCUCCUUGGUUAUGCCGGUUGCCAGAAGACAGAACUAGAGGGGAAAGUAGCUCUGCUCAUGCCGUCUUUCCAUUCCCGUAGAGGAGAGAGGCAGUCAGUCCUCCUCUCAGCCUCUUGGCUUCCUUCGUCCUAAUGAUCACCCCGAAAGGUGCAUAGCGCACCUUUGCCGGCGUGAUCUCAUUUAAUCCUUAGUACAGCUGAGUGGUAGCCAUUACUGUUCCCAUUUUACAGAUGAGGAGACAAAUCAGAAAAACAGGACAACGCACUGGGGGUUCUGUAGCCAUAAGAGACAAGCCAAGUGAGAAACAGACCCAGCCCUCCUGGCCCUAGUGUGCAUCGUCUCCUGGGUGCCUGGCCUUUCCUCAGCUCCUGUUGCAAGUUAUUGUUAGAACAACCUCUUAUUCCAUGAACGUCAAACCACUUCCUUCCCCUGGUUGCCUGUUCAAACCUUUUUGGGCCAUAGAUAGUUUGGGCAGCAAAUGGAACUCCCUGUGUUUACCCACCUAUUCUUUGCCCCAGCCACUACCAGUCCAGUUGGGAAGAAAGAUGGUCCUGGGUGGGACACCAGGCGGAGAAAAGCUGGGUUAACUAAAGGGCAAAUCAAUAAUUCAUACUCAAAACCAGAGUACAAAAACCACUGCCUCCAUUUAUUCCACCUCAAAUUGCCCUCUGGGGAGUCUUGUGGUCCAGCCUAAACCCACCAAGUGGAGAGGUGGUGGUGGGAGCAGGAACACACAUAACUCCUCUUACACCCCGUAUCCUACUGUGUAGUUUUAAAAAGUCAGUGUUUAUGGGCUUUGCCAAUUUUGAAUAGAGUUUGUCUAAGAACACGUGUUUCCUACAGCACUGAGAGCUUAAUAAAAGAAUUGCAACGUGGGGGAAGGUGGCACAACAAUGUAAUUGUUGACUUGACAACAGAGAAAGUAGCAGAUCUUUCUAAUGAGUUCAUUAGGUGCUUCCUAAAAGAUCCGGGACUGCACACCAGCACCCACUUAUGUAGCACAAGGUGCAACUCCAAGGGGUGUCCUAGAAGAGCUGCUGCUCUUUGCCCACCAGGGAGUUCUAACUGUAUUAUAUCCAAGUUUAAGUAUAAUAAUAUUGGCCCAGUUUGAAAGAAGUUAAACUUUUUCUUGGGUUUCUAAUAAUGUAAAUGGUAUUUCCACCUUCUCAGAGGAGAAUUCAAAGGUUUUUUUAUGAUUCUGUUUUCUCAGUCAUCCAUUUGAGGCCUGGUCCUUGGCAUUCCUCAGUGUGGCAGGGAGCUAGCUCCCAAGCCACCUGGCAUAUGCUGGCCACGGUGAAGCCAUCUCAACGUUGCUCACCCCCACUUGUGGGCCCCCUGAAGUCAUGUUUUUGAAGAGUGUCCUAAGAACAGAUUAUCCUAUUUUUAGUUAUGUAUUGAGCCUAUCGAAAACCUGGAGUUGUAAGGAGAAUCAUCUCUAAGAGGGAAUGCAAACAUCUCCAUCUUUUUUUCUCUCCCAAUUCUGAAUGGUGCCAGUGUGAGCUAGGGUAGUAUUCACACCAAGGGGUGGCAUUUAUCUCUGCAUAUGUAGAGCUGCAGUGCUCCACCUGAAGGGAUAAAUUCUUGGCCACUUCUGGUGGGUCACUACUUUAUUCAAAGAUGUUUGGGGUCUGCCCGUUGCCUCCUGGACAGGUGGCAGGCAACUUUGUGAGACCUGCAGUGCCUCUGAUCCUUGGUCCCAGCCUGUGUUUCCAACCUUGCCUCUCACCACCCCAACAUGAGCCCCAGGCUCAGCAAGGGUGUCUUCUCAUGGUCUCCCAAAUUGGCCAUGGUACAAGCGAUUCUGAUCCUUUGAGACUUAAGUGCGCUAUGGAUCACUGCACCCCUACAACCCCAAAAAACUCAAACACAGAGUUUGUCAAGAAUUUGGUGGCUUCCCAGGCUCUUGGAGCCCUCCCUGGGUUCCCCUUAAAAGCCCUGUCUGCCUAAAACACCCUUGUCCUAUGCCUCUUCAUGCCUCAUCCUCCCAGUCAUUUCUGGUUCCUGUGUCACUCAUGUCCAGGUCGGCACUCCUCACUCUGUGCACUGUCGCUGCAGUGAAACUCAGCCCUUUCCUGCCACACCUCCCCAUCAGCACAGCCUGGUGCCCAACUCCCACCUCGGGUCUCAUGCAGCGGCCUGUGCUCCGCAGCUCUGACUCUCACUUGCACAUUGCCCCGGGCAGGGUUGGUUUCUAAUUCAUGUGUAUCUUGUCUCUGUAGUGUGCCUGCCAGCUUCUCCACAGCCGGCCUGGGUCUUCUUCUUUAUGGCCCCUCACAGUCCCCUAGUGGAGCACUCUUUCUAUAGUAGGUGCUCAAGAAAUACAUUUUCAACUCAAUUGAAGGGAAUAGGCUCCCAUAACAGAAUGAACUCAUUUCAGAAAUUCAUUACCAAGUCUUAAAAACCUUUUUUUAUAGAUCCUCCUGGACCGAAUCCAGCUCUACCUUAAUUAGCAAAGCAAUUUGCAACACCCUUUCCCAAAAGUGCUUAUGCGUCCCUUUGUGUGACUAGAAUAGGGGCCGCUGCACCAAUUGCUGUCACCACCCAAAAUUCAAUUUGGAAAAUCGAAAUCAGUGCCUGCAGCACUGAUGUAGAUUUGUAUGUAUAAAAGUUUAAUAUGGUAAAGAGAAAUUUACUGACGACUGAACAGGGGAAAUGCAAAAGGAGCAAAAAUAGAGCUAUAAAGGACGCUCGUCAGAUGAACAUCUAUUUUAUUCACAUUUGGGGAGCAGUGCUGAAUUUUUCAUAAUGUCCCCACUGCUGCCUUUUUCAAACCCAGCACUGCUAUUAGUCCUAAAAUGUCCAUGAUCUCAUUAGGUGUGAAUGCAAAAUCAGGUAAUUUAAAGCUUGUAUUAAGAAUAUUUCUAAAAAUGCCAGUCCAUUUCAUCAGAAAAACUGCAUUUCAGAACUCAGGAAUGUUAGUGCUGGAGUCUGUGAAUAAAGUGUAAGCUAUAGGAAUGUGGUGAGGCUUCUGGAAUUCGACAGAUGUCUCCACUGACAUCCUUUUAAGUAGUAAGCAUGACUUUUUUAAUUGCUGAGCUUGAGUUAUCUGUGGCUAGGAACCCAGCAUUGACCAAGGCUUCAUCACUCCUCAGGCAGUAAGAACUUGGCUAGAAAUGGGCAUGUCUCAAACUCCUGUCACCUCCACUGAGCUGCUUUUAGAGCCUCAGUUAGAUACCUUCUGACCUCAGAGGGGAAACUGGAUGGCAAGUCUGUUUUUAGGACUCAGGUGUUUGGUUUUCUUUCUCAGAUUACAACUGAGUCCAGGAAUUCUGGGAACUCUCUAGGAGACUGACUCUUUCACACAGAGGAAGCUUCAGAAGUGAGAGUGGUCGGGCACAGUGGCUCAAGCCUGUAAUCCCAGCACUUUGGGAGGCCGAGGUGAGCGGAUCACAAGGUCAGGAGAUCGAGACCAUCCUGGCUAACAUGGUGAAACCCCGUCUCUACUAAAAAUACAAAAAAUUAGCCAGGCAUGGUAGCGGGCGCCUGUAGUCCCAGCUACUUGGGAGGCUGAGGCAGGAGAAUGGCAUGAACCCGGGAGGCGGAGCUUGCAGUGAGCCGAGAUUGUGCCACUGCACUCUAGCCUGGGUGACAGAGCGAGACUCUGUCUAAAAAAAAAAAAAAAGUGAGAGUACCUGAGGGUCACUUUGCUUUUUGCACUUAGACUUUGUGCACUUUACUCUUACAGGAGCAGCACUCUGCAAGGGUGACCCGCCCCCUGUGCCCCUCCUGUCUGUCCUGCUGCUCAUCAGGGAUGGGACUAGGUGGCAAGGAAGGACAGCACCUUAUACCACACCUGCUUGAGGGUGUGAUAUAAGGUUGCUGAGCAGCCUACUGGUGACUUCUUACUGCUAGAGAAGUUGGAGCAGGAAGGGAACUUGAGUUCACAAGGUGUUUGAGGGUGCGGAUCUGGUCGGAAUGCAGGUUUAUCAAGAAGCAGUGUUAGGAGCCCAGGAGAGAGGCAGAGGCUAUGGGAGGAAGGCAAAUCAGCGUGUGGACUCCUUUCCUAAGAGCUUGGUUGGGAAGGUGGUGGGGAUGGUGGCAGGACGGGAAGGUCCAGGUAAGCAGCCAUCAGGUGAAGACCGGGUACAGCAAACAGCUGCUCCCUUGGCAGACCACGGAGUGCUCAGUGACCGCUGAGAGCCACCGGGGUCAGUCAGGAGUGAAGCCUCAGCAGUUUCUCAUCCUUCCUCACUUCCGUUUCCAGCGCCACCCUCGGCAGUGCAUACCAGCCGUGCUGAUCCACUGAUAACAUGCUGACCCAUUCCCUGGGCAUGGGCUCCACCUGGUCCUGUGCCUGGAGCACCCCACUCCCUUGCUGGGACAUGCGCCCAUCCUCAGCCGCUCAUUCUCCAGCACUUCCUGCCUGGCCCCGCAGGCCCAUAGCACCUCGUACAUGCCCCUUCGUUCCACUCCCACCAGGGUGGUUCUGAACUGUUCUGUCCUUUCCCCUCUUACAUUAUGAGACAGGGGCCUGUGUUUACUACAACUCUUUACUACUAAUAACUGAGAAAAACGAAUCACUCACAUUUAGCGGUGUUCCAGGCCCGGAAUUCAGAGCAGCCCAAGCAUUACCUCAUUUAUCCUCAUACCACCCUGGGAAGUAGGGGCUAUUAUUAUAUUUUCUUUUAAAAGAAAGGUUAAGUUGGCCAGUAUGCUUCAAAAAUGUUCAGUGCAUGAAAGACAAAGGCCGAGGAACUGUCCCGGAUUAAAGGAGACUAAAAGAUACAUGAUUGUUAAAUGCAGCAGAACAUCCUGUUUUUCCAUAGAUUAUUAUUGAGACAAUUGACAGAAUUGGAAUAUGGACUGUGCAUUAGAUAAUAGUGUUGUAUCGAUGUUAAGUGGCCUGAAUUUGAUCAUUGAACUGUGGUUAUAUAAGAGAAUGUUCUUGUUCUUAGGAAAUGCACACUGAAAUAUUAUGGGGUGAAGGGGCAUUAUGCUCCUAAUUUCAAGUGGAUCAGAAGAAAGAUACGUAUGUACAGAUACAGAGAAAGAUAAACUGUGGCAACUUUUUUUUUUUUACGUGUGUUUCAUGGGGGAAGAGUGAAUGGUUUGCCUGAUAUCACAUAGCUGAUAAGGGAUGGUGCCUGGAUUCAACCCAGGCAGUUUGACUCCACUGCUCCCUACAGCCUUGGAGAUACUUAUUCACCCAAGCGUCCCCUGCUCAUAGAUGGGUCAAGCAUACUAUAGGGUCUCGAUGAAUUUCUGUGAAAUUUAUAAGUGAGCGCACUUUGGGAGGCCGAGGCGGGCAAAUCACAAGGUCAGGAGUUCCAGACCAGCCUAGCCAACAUGGUGAAAGCCUGUCUCUGCUAAAAAUACACAAAAUUAGCUGGGCGUAGUGGUGGGUACCUGUAAUCCCAGCUCCUUGGGAGGCUGAGGCAGGAGAAUCACUUGAACCCGGGAGGGGAGGUUGCAGUGAGCCGAGAUCGUGCCACUGCACUCUAGCAUUAGCUCUUGGCUGUGCGUGCCCUGCUGAAGAAAUGUUCUAGAUGUGUUCAUCCAGAUGUGUGCAGAAUUCCAUUCUAAUGGGACUUUCCCCAGAAGAGCUGUCCAGCAGCAGGGAGACACCAGCCUCAUACUUUUCCAUUCAUUCUGUCCACUCAGAUAAUGACUUUGAUUAUUAUUCGGCAAACACUGGCCACCUCCUCAGGCCAUAAUCCUUCCUCUUCUGAUGUAUCUAGCUGUACAGUCUCAUGAUGAGUAGCCUGAAUCCAGGAAUGGGUCAGGUAGAACUAAAUGAUGGAUUGUCUUUUUUGUUUGCUGUAAAGUAGGGACCUCAUUUGACAUGCACAGAGAGGCAGCAGUGGAGCUGCCUAUUAAACUGCUUUACUACUGAUUUAUUUAUGCUCUGCCUUCUCCAAGGAAGGAUUUAAGUUAGGAAAAAAUCCAUCAUUUGAAUUCUGGGGGAAAAAAAUGUAAAAGAGAAAGUUUUGUUCUGGGGAGCUUUUCAAAAUUCUUGGCAGAAAAAUGUAAAGAACUAUACAUAAGUAAUAGCAAGGACAGAGUAAAGGGAAAGUUAGAAGCAGUGCAAGGGAAAAGACCACGCCGCCUCUGUACGCUACCUGUCUUCCUGAGAAUGUCCAGCAGGGGCACCACUGUCUCUGGCACCAGAGAAUUGACUUUUAUCACCUUUUCUAUGGCAAGGCCUCAGUGUUCUGGGCCAUCUCCUUUCUAGCAGGACCUAACUGUGGUCCCAUCUUGGUUCUCCUCAGUUUACCCAUUUUAUCUUAAAUGUUGCCUUCUUCAUGUUUCUUUCCUUCUUGUAGAGUUUCAGCAGCUCCCCACUUAUCACAGAUGAGAACUCAGAUGAUUUUGGUUUUUUUUGCCUUUGCUAAAAGAAUCUGUUGGUCUGAGGCCGGGCAUGGUGACUCACGCCUGUAACCCCAGCACUCUGGGAGGCUGAGGCAGAUGGAUCACUUGAGGUCAGGAGUUCGAAACCAGCCUGGCCAGCGUGGUGAAACCCUGUCUCUACUAAAAAAUACAAAAAUUAGCUGGGUGUGGUGGCACAUUCCUUUAAUCCCAGCUACUCGGGAGGCCGAAGCUGGAGAAUUGCUUGAACCCAGGAGGCGGAGGUUGCAGUGAGCCAAGAUUGCACCACUGCACUUCAGCCUGGGCAAUAGAGUGAGACUCCGUCUCAAAAAAAGAAAA